Molecule: long non-coding RNA, 350 nt
Organism: Ipomoea nil (Japanese morning glory)
Lineage: Eukaryota; Viridiplantae; Streptophyta; Magnoliopsida; Solanales; Convolvulaceae
Exons: 2
Source: RefSeq, a predicted model, not a curated record
GGUAUAGUAGGGUAACCGGAGAAAAUUCUACUAAAUUUGUUUCGUACAUUGCGACUUUGGUUCGUUCUCAUGUUGAUAUCAACAUCAAGAGUUGGCGUAAUAUAGAUAAAAGCCUUAAAAAUAUCAUUUGGGAACAUGUUAAUGAUCAGUUUGGUAUGCAAGAUGAUUCAAAAAAGUCUGUAGUUUUGAAAAUUGCAUGGUUGAGAUGGAAAGACUUCAACAAUAGAUUGUUACGUGAAUAUGUUAACAAGAAGCACCCAAGGUAUAACUCUCCUACAUAGCUUUAUGAUUUCUUGAGUGAAGAACAAUAGGGAAGUUUGUAGCAAAACGGCAUACUAAAGAGUUUAAGG